UGCCCGGUGGACAAAACCGGAGGAAGGUGGGGAUGACGUCAAGUCCUCAUGGCCCUUAUGGGUAGGGCUUCACACGUCAUACAAUGGUCGGUACAGAGGGUUGCCAAGCCGCGAGGUGGAGCCAAUCCCUUAAAGCCGAUCGUAGUCCGGAUCGUAGUCUGCAACUCGACUACGUGAAGUCGGAAUCGCUAGUAAUCGCAGAUCAGCAUGCUGCGGUGAAUACGUUCCCGGGUCUU
This 236-nucleotide ribosomal RNA is filed under the name uncultured Thauera sp. Its description in RNAcentral is "partial 16S ribosomal RNA". It matches the Rfam family "Bacterial small subunit ribosomal RNA", at positions 1150 to 1382 of the family's 1533-position model. Lineage: Bacteria; Pseudomonadati; Pseudomonadota; Betaproteobacteria; Rhodocyclales; Zoogloeaceae. The record is from RNAcentral.